RNAcentral lists this ribosomal RNA (376 nucleotides) under uncultured bacterium. RNAcentral's name for it is "bacterial SSU rRNA". It matches the Rfam family "Bacterial small subunit ribosomal RNA", at positions 524 to 898 of the family's 1533-position model. The record is from RNAcentral.
CACGUAGGAUGCGAGCGUUAUCCGGAUUUAUUGGGCGUAAAGCGUGCGCAGGUGGUUUGGUAAGUUGGAUGUGAAAGCUCCUGGCUUAACUGGGAGAGGUCGUUCAAUACUACUGAACUUGAGAGUGGUAGAGGAAGGUGGAAUUCCGCGUGUAGUGGUGAAAUGCGUAGAUAUGCGGAGGAACACCAGUGGCGAAAGCGGCCUUCUGGACCACUUCUGACACUCAUGCACGAAAGCUAGGGUAGCAAACUGGAUUAGAGACCCCGGUAGUCCUAGCUGUAAACGAUGUGAACUUGGCGUCGGUGGGGUUAAAUCCAUCGGUGCCGAAGCUAACGCGAUAAGUUCACCGCCUGGGGAUUACGGCCGCAAGGUUAAA